AACGGAGAGGACGAGUGUUAUUCGACUUGACUGGGUGUAAAGGUACGUAGGCGGUUAUUUAAGUAAUAAAUAAAAUUUAUAAUAUUUAUUAUACUAUCUAACUAGAGUUUUUCAGAAGAUAACAGUAUCUUAAGUGGAAAGGUGACAUUUUUAGAUAUUUAAGAGACUCUCAACAGGCGAAGGCAGUUAUCUAUUAUUAUACUGACGCUGAGGUACAAAAGCGUGGGGAGCAAAUAGG
Molecule: ribosomal RNA, 238 nt
Filed under: uncultured bacterium
Lineage: Bacteria
Description: partial 16S ribosomal RNA
Rfam family: Bacterial small subunit ribosomal RNA
Source: RNAcentral